UGUCUCCUCCACCCUCCUCCUUUGGUGGAUUCGGCGCAACUCUCGCGAGUUGCGCUUUUUUUU
Betaproteobacteria bacterium is the source of this 63-nucleotide non-coding RNA. The record is from Rfam. NCBI's taxonomy places the organism in Bacteria, Pseudomonadati, Pseudomonadota, Betaproteobacteria.